AACUAUGUUAUGGACACAUCAUUGACAUACCAUGAUACAAGAUAAUGAGAUAUUAAAUCCCUUUAACAUUAGAAACCACACAAUGACCAUUCCCAUCUACUUUGUAUGUCCACUAGCUAAAUGACCAUAUAGUAAGAUCUUUGUGGAAUCAACAGUAAAAACUCAGAUGGAUGCAAACAUAUGGAUGGUCAAGGGGCUCAUCUUUUUCGAGUGCACUAGUCAACUCAUUGCUUACAUCAGUGGAUGUAGUGCUAUGGAUACGAUCAUGUGGAUGAGGUGCAAGACUCUAAUUUCUCCAAAUAUAACAAGCUCCCAAAAAGUUAUCAACCAAGGCGUAGUUUUCGAUUAAUAAUUGUCCAAGCAAUGUCAUUUAUGUGGUCAUCUUCAUGAGAUCAAGGAAACCCAUGGGAUGAAUCAAGAACGAAAACCUUAUUGUCCAAAAAGAAAAACCAUGAGCUCCGCCGUGCACCGCCGUAUCACUUCCUUUUUUCAAUACCCAUACUUCUUCCAUCUCUCAACAUUUCUUCAACCUAAACUGAAAUUCACCAAAUAAACACUAAAUCACACAUCUAGAAAUCAAAGAUCGGAAGAGUAAAAUACUUUUUUGAUGAAUGGUGAAGAAACGCUCAGCUUGAGCAGCGGUGACAUCACCACGAUAGUCACGCCACACCAGAACAUAGCUCGUUAAAUCAAACAUAAAUAGCAAUAAGGUCGUUCUUGCUAUGGUAUUCUUCAUCCUUGUUUAUCAAAAAUUAGGAUCAAACAUAUGAAUUAAUUUGGAGAUGGUGAACCGAGAUCUUACAUUUUUUUUUGUAGAUAGAAAGAGAAAACAAAUGACAAAAGAUAGAGAGAAGAAAGAAAAAAU
RNAcentral lists this long non-coding RNA (865 nucleotides) under Capsella rubella. Its description in RNAcentral is "long non-coding RNA (CRUB_LNC001592)". Lineage: Eukaryota; Viridiplantae; Streptophyta; Magnoliopsida; Brassicales; Brassicaceae. The record is from RNAcentral.